UUAACUGGGGUAGUUAUUUUAGUUAAAUUAAUAUGAAUUUAAACAAAUUAAUGGUAAUUGUUCCUUUAUAUAAGGGAAUAUAUAGAUAGUUACUUUAGGGAUAACAGCAUAAUAUUUUUGGAGAGAUCUUAUUGAUAGAAAUGAUUGUGACCUCGAUGUUGAAUUAAAAAAACUUUAUAAAGCAGCAUAUAUAUAAGUAGGUUUGUUCAACCUUUAAAAUUUUACAUGAUCAGAGUUCAGACCGGA
RNAcentral lists this ribosomal RNA (246 nucleotides) under Paralicella tenuipes. Its description in RNAcentral is "partial 16S ribosomal RNA". The stretch from base 100 to 246 matches the Rfam family "Bacterial large subunit ribosomal RNA", at positions 2473 to 2620 of the family's 2925-position model. The record is from RNAcentral. Lineage: Eukaryota; Metazoa; Arthropoda; Malacostraca; Amphipoda; Lysianassidae.